CUGAGAGACUGUAUGGGUUUGUGUCUGCCAUCUCUCUAGGACAUAUGGGAAACGGAGUUGCGGAGGUAUCUAGAAAUCCUUCUUUUUCCUAUACCAUUGGCUUGGAGAGACAAGGUGCUUCCGUGGAAGUCAUGCCCAAGAGCCCUGUGACAGAGCACCUAGCUACCGUGUCUGUGGGUGGCAUGUUGGAAAGGAGCAGCCAGGCAGGCUUCCUGGAGGAAGCGUCAGUCUUUGACAGCAGGAACUUGUCUCUAACUUCAGGCGGCUUCUCAUCAGGCAGCAAGACCUCUAAUCUCUCACAUCUCAUUUACUGGCACCGAGCCUCGCAAGCUUCCUGCUACUGAGCCUGGACUGAGACAAUCAACAUGUGACAUGAGACUGUCCUAGCGGUUGGGUAGUGACUGGACCCCACAGCUCCCCAGCCCCGAGGAAAACCAUGGUCCUCCUGUGGCUGUUUCUCCUGCUGGGGCUCACAUUUGCCACUUUCAGUUUAUGACGGGUCAGUGCAGCUACUGUGAGUGAAGGGCAUGUAUAAUGCCUCCCAAAUGCCUACUGUGUGCCCAAUACAUACUGGGCACUGGACACCUACGGUGUACUGAUCACCCACUAUGUGAUCUUCUCUGUAGCUCUCCAGUCAGUCA
RNAcentral lists this long non-coding RNA (641 nucleotides) under Mus spicilegus (steppe mouse). RNAcentral describes it as "lncRNA (ENSMSIG00000018765.1)". The record is from RNAcentral. Lineage: Eukaryota; Metazoa; Chordata; Mammalia; Rodentia; Muridae.